RNAcentral lists this ribosomal RNA (511 nucleotides) under Rhodococcus sp. AP34Hx. RNAcentral's name for it is "bacterial SSU rRNA". It matches the Rfam family "Bacterial small subunit ribosomal RNA", at positions 338 to 860 of the family's 1533-position model. Lineage: Bacteria; Bacillati; Actinomycetota; Actinomycetes; Mycobacteriales; Nocardiaceae. The record is from RNAcentral.
CCUACGGGAGGCAGCAGUGGGGAAUAUUGCACAAUGGGCGGAAGCCUGAUGCAGCGACGCCGCGUGAGGGAUGAAGGCCUUCGGGUUGUAAACCUCUUUCAGCAGGGACGAAGCGUGAGUGACGGUACCUGCAGAAGAAGCACCGGCUAACUACGUGCCAGCAGCCGCGGUAAUACGUAGGGUGCGAGCGUUUUCCGGAAUUACUGGGCGUAAAGAGUUCGUAGGCGGUUUGUCGCGUCGUUUGUGAAAACCCGGGGCUCAACUUCGGGCUUGCAGGCGAUACGGGCAGACUUGAGUGUUUCAGGGGAGACUGGAAUUCCUGGUGUAGCGGUGAAAUGCGCAGAUAUCAGGAGGAACCCCGGUGGCGAAGGCGGGUCUCUGGGAAACAACUGACGCUGAGGAACGAAAGCGUGGGUAGCAAACAGGAUUAGAUACCCUGGUAGUCCACCCCGUAAACGGUGGGCGCUAGGUGUGGGUUCCUUCCACGGGAUCUGUGCCGUAGCUAACGCAU